This 1287-nucleotide unclassified non-coding RNA is filed under the name Homarus americanus (American lobster). RNAcentral's name for it is "gastrula zinc finger protein XlCGF57.1-like, transcript variant X8". The record is from RNAcentral. Lineage: Eukaryota; Metazoa; Arthropoda; Malacostraca; Decapoda; Nephropidae.
GCCUAAGUCAUCAUGUAGGUCCUGUAGAAGGUAUUUAGUGGCGAGUUACUUAGAGUUUAUCACUAAGAAGACUGAGUAAGACUGAAGUGUCAACGCUCACCCAAACAACGGACGCGCGCACAAGGAACAAGCCAGGGGGGAAACUCUGUCAAGAAACUACUCUCUUAUGAUAGUUUAUACACGGGUUACUUCAUUCCCAUCUGCCGAGUGUUCACAUCACACCACUCUGGCGUACCGGCAUUAAAAUGGGACAGAAGAAGGGUUCUGUGGAACCCCUUGUGGUCAGGUGGGGAUCACAAUGACCUUCAUGAUUCUUGAAUCCUGCCAUAUAACUUCAUUGGUUUUCAAGCAACCACCAGGUUCAAGGCAUCAGCUUCUAGAUAGCAAGGCCUGUGAGUCCUGAUAAGUGACCUGUGGGGUGUACCACUACUAAAGGCAUCCAGACAGAACCAACUAUUACUGCAGCUCUUAGCAUUAGGACACAUUAUCCACAUGGACAAAGUGUAUGCUACAACACUCUCCUCAUCCAGUCAAUUUAUAUUCAAAUCCUGAAUGAUAUUUGUCUCAAGAUCUGUGAGGCCACAAGUCAGGAGUCAACUCAGAAGCUUCACUUGGUUUCCAAGCCCAUAAACCUCACCUCUAGCUUCUCAGUUCCCUGGUGGUAGCCGUACAUAGACAGUGGAGGUACUAUGAGUGAGAAGAGAAAGAAAAGUAGAGUAGAUCCUGCUGCAUCUGAUGGCAUUAAGAAGAAAAAAGCAAGCUAUUACUUUUGAUGGGAAAAUUAAAGUAUUCCCCUUCAAAAUCCCCUAAGAACCAAACUUCUACCUCCAAGCAAUAAUUACUCUUGUCCAUUAUGCAAGUGGAUACAAUAAUUUAAGGUAAGAAACUGAGAUGUCACAAUAUUCUUACUGUACAACUGGCAGGAGGUAAAAUUAGCAUGUGUUGUUGGUGAGAAAUCAGAUAAAAUUAAGUUGAGAAUAUUGUUGAAUGUACCUCGGGUAAUGCUGUCACUGUGUCACAAUUACCAUAAAUUUAAUGUUGUUACUUAGGUUUACAUUCUUAGGGAUUAUUUUUAUGAAAUUUUUCUCAAAUAAAAGGGUACAGUAUUUCACUUCACUUAAAAACAUAUACAACUUUGAACUAUGUCUUUUAGGUUAAAAAAGUAGUAUAAUAAAUAUGUCUGAAAUGCUGUAAAAUGAUGAGAUACACUGAGGUUUUCUUUGAAUGACAUUUUUUUCUAAUAAAAAAUAAAUAAAAUAAAAUAUUCAAAUAAAAAAUGCAAAGUCA